UUCAAAUCCCGCCAGGAACACCACCACUAGUGUGCCCUUGAGUGCCAGCUUUACGCAAAAUGAUUAUACAAAAUGAUUAUACAAAAUGAAAACUUUACUUUUUUGAAAAUAUUUACAUAUUUGGAAGAAUGUCAUGUAAUAUUUGAAAAUUGAAUUCUGGCAAUUGACCCUCUGUAGAAAUUGUCUGUAGCUGCCAUACAUUAUUUGACUUGCUGUUUGUCAACCACAGCUUCCCAGUACGUCUGUAUGUAUGAUGUCUGCUUGUAUAUUGUUUUACAAUGACAUCCUGUCAGAGCCAUGUGUACAUUGUCAAUGUAAUCUUUGGGUUUUGAUCUAUUAUUUAGAAGCACGAGCCAUUUUUUUAGGGAUUGCCUUUCUAAUAAUGAAUAAUUCACUUACCCAAUUCCUUUUAUCCUGAAGCUUAUGGCAUAUCUUUAAUGCAAAUUAUACCUUAGUCAAUCCAAUGUUGAUACAUUAAUGAAUUUCCUCUAAGAUCCGUUAUAUACUUAGAUCCCCAAAUGGUCUGGUUUCCAACCUCCUCUCCUGUACGGCUCCUUUAGUGUUCCACCCCCUGCUUUCUGCCAGCUAGCCCAUCUUUGAAUGACACAUUGAUAGAAAGAAGGAAUCCCUGUUCAAAUCAAGGUCUUUCCGAAUCAAUUGAGAAAUAGUUUAGGCAAUAGCUUCCAGUCCCCUGAUGUUGGGUGAUUGAUCCAUAAUACGCUUCAACCAACCGUAAUGAAGUGCUUCUCUGUGAGAUAAAAAUAUAUAGCAUUUUAAACCCUGUCUCAUAAUCUCCAGUGAUAACUGAUCUUUUUCAAUUGUAUGCCUCUUUCCAGACCAAAUAGUCUAGGGGUAAGAUGAAUAACUUGGCUUUGGAUAAGUUGAGCCUAUAAAUAAGGGAAAAUACUGUACCGUACACCACAUGGCUUUAAUACAUACAUAUUGUUUAUGAGGAGAGAAAAGCUGUGUUUUUCAUCAACGCAUAUAUGAAAGGAAGUUACAUCAACACACAUAAGAUAAUUGCAUAACACAAAUUCCCCUUAAACCUUCAUCUUAUUCAAAGAAGAAUUAGAGCAUAAUAAAUGAAGCGGUAAUACUGGCUAUGCAUCAUACUUAUAAUGUAUUAUAAUCAGCUUAUAACACUAUAAUUAUUGUUCUAGGAACUCAUUGAUGCUCAUAAAUGAAGCAGUUGAUGUGGGAUUCAGCAGUAGUAGGAUUCAAGGCGUUUUUAGAAUCGGCUAUACAGUUAUACAGAAGGACCAGAGUUUACUCUGAAUAGGAAGUGUUUUAAGGAAGAUUUCAGAACCCAUGGUGUAGGACUAAAACACAUACACGCAUAUUACAAUCACUCACUUAGACUGGCCUCCAAUGUGUUAAAACAAGAGACGCAGAUCAGUGCCCCUUAUGGGGUUAAUUAGGGUUAGGCUUGGGGCUAGGGGUAAAGAUAGUUUUGAGGGAACAUAGGGCUGACUGUAGGUACGCUCCUGUGUAUGACAGUGCAAAAUGUUUGCCUAUUCUUUGACUCCUGUUGUCUGUUAUUCUGUGUUAAAGUAGUAAUAGUCUGUCCUUUAGCACAGUUACAUAUCUGUCUGGUACAAAUGUUUAAGUGAACAGCUUGACCUGUAUCUGUUUUUGUGUACUUGUCUAGGCGGAUGAUGUGUCCCUUCAAAAUGUGGCAGGCAAGACAGUUUUCUGAAUCUUUCAACAGUGUAAUAGAAUCGGACCAUAUUUUCAUCAGCAUCCUGGGCUGUACAAAGAGCAGUUAGCACUGUUGAAAAAAGGACACAUAUAUGAGAGAAGUAUAACAGUUUAUUUUGUAUAACAUGUAAAGCCUUGAAACACAAUAUUUGUAUGCACAAAUUACUCAAGUAUAAAUACUUCAGCCCAUUGUGUCCGAUGACAGCGGAAGGAGAGAGCUGGUUAGGAAGGCGUAACUCCUUUUCCCCGCAGCGUUCCAUAACUUAAGCAUUGGUCUGUUUAUAGGAAAACAUAUGCAGCACUGUGCAGUUGUGGAGGAUGCAGGACUUAAACAUAAGUAUGAUUAAAACGAGCUACGCCAUUACCCUCUCCACAACAAAUAAAUUAUUAUUAUUAACAGACAGAACAGACGUGACUAGGAACUCUCAAGUAAACACGUGGCUCAUAACCCUUUAGGAAACGCCCCCUAUAGGAUCCUCCCUUUAUAGGAACCACCCCCUGCCUGCGGUCUGCAUCCAGACCCAUCUCCCAGCUGGGUGUAAAAAAGUAGGGCUUAACUCUAACGUCGGGCUUAGCUACGUCCGACUUAGUGAUUCGAAUUUACACCGAGUGCACCAAGCCUGACUAGUCUCGGGCGUAGCUGCGCCUGGUCUUAAGAUGCGCGUCCACGUGAAUACACGCAAAACAGUAAUUGUUGCCAAGCAACACACGUCUAUAUAAUUUAACACUCAAACUCCUCCAUUCAGAGCAAGCUAAGAAUUGAAUAACGAAUAUGGAUAACGGAAAGAAGAGAAAAAACUAUUUUACUGAUAGAGAGAUUAGAACAUUAAUGGAAAUAUAUGCAGAGCAUAAAAACUCGCUAACUGCCAAAUGUAAUAAUACCAUGACAAACCAACACAAACUCGCAGCCUGGAAGUCAAUCACUGGUGCGAUAAAUGACUUGGGUGAUGGAGGGAUACGGACGGUGGAAGAGUGUAGGAAAAAGUGGAAGGACCUACUAUCCAGAGCCAAAAAGGAUGCAUCGGUUCUCAAAAACCCUCCGACCGGCGGAGGCCCUGCUCCAAAAACCUCUCCAUACAGCAAAAUCAUUAUUGCUAUUUUUGGAGAGGAUUCCCCCACUUUCACCGGGUUGAAUGGGAUCGACAGCUAAGAGCCCUCAACCUCAACAUUUGAAGAGGUUGACGCAGACGUGUCAGCUGUCACUAGUGACUCAGAGGACCGCAGAGAAGAGGGAAGUCCCUCACCCGUCAGCGAUGACUCAAGGGGAAUCCCAAAUGGCCACACCCCGAAAGAGAAAGAGGGAUUUGUCAGAGCUACAGCGGGAACUGACGGAGAAAGAAAUCGUUCGUGUGGAGGUGGAGACCGUCAAAUUGAGAGUGGAACACGAAGAAAUUGAGAUGGAGAAAUUGAGACUCCAAAUAAUAAUUCUUAAGAAUCAGCUACUAAUCACUGAAGAAGACAAUGUGUUCACCGUUCUGUAAUCAUGUUGUACUUGUUUUUUAUCUCAAUUUCAUGUUAAUAGUUCUCCAAAAUGUUGUUAUUUAAUGUUCUUAUGUUCUUUGAAUAAAAUAGGCCUAAUGAAAA
This is a long non-coding RNA of Gymnodraco acuticeps, 3282 nucleotides long. RefSeq lists it as uncharacterized. NCBI's taxonomy places the organism in Eukaryota, Metazoa, Chordata, Actinopteri, Perciformes, Bathydraconidae. The record is from RefSeq and is a predicted model, not a curated record. The transcript has 2 exons.